AAUCAACGCUGGCGGCGUGCCUCAGACAUGCAAGUCGAACGAGAAAGUUUCCUUCGGGAGACGAGUACAGUGGCGUCCGGGUGAGUAACACGUGGGUAAUUUACCUUUGGGUGGGGAAUAGCAGCCGGAAACGGCUAUUAAUACCGCAUAAUGCAGCGGCUCGACAUCGAGACAGUUGUUAAAGCGGGGAUCUGACAAGGACCUCGCGCCUAAAGAGAAGCCUGCGUCAGAUAGCUAGUUGGUAGGUAAUGGCCUACCAAGGCUGUGAUCUGUAGCCGGCCUGAGAGGGCGGUCGGCCACACUGACACUGACACACGGGUCAGACUCCUACGGGAGGCAGCAGUCGGGAAUUUUGGGCAAUGGGCGCAAGCCUGACCCAGCAACGCCGCGUGAAGGAUGAAAUCCCU
RNAcentral lists this ribosomal RNA (407 nucleotides) under uncultured bacterium. Its description in RNAcentral is "bacterial SSU rRNA". It matches the Rfam family "Bacterial small subunit ribosomal RNA", at positions 32 to 418 of the family's 1533-position model. The record is from RNAcentral.